RNAcentral lists this transfer RNA (74 nucleotides) under Prevotella sp. CAG:1092. Its description in RNAcentral is "transfer RNA-Pseudo(GCA)". It matches the Rfam family "tRNA". Rfam says of the family: Transfer RNA (tRNA) molecules are approximately 80 nucleotides in length. Their secondary structure includes four short double-helical elements and three loops (D, anti-codon, and T loops). The record is from RNAcentral. Lineage: Bacteria; Pseudomonadati; Bacteroidota; Bacteroidia; Bacteroidales; Prevotellaceae.
GGUGCCUUGUCCGAACGGUUAGGUAUCGGUCUGCAAAACCGCUCAAGGCAGUUCGACUCUGCCAGGCACCUCAA